GAUGAACGCUGGCGGCGUGCCUAAUACAUGCAAGUCGAACGGAAAGGCCCUGCUUUUGUGGGGUGCUCGAGUGGCGCACGCGUGAGUAUCACGCGAGUAACCUGCCCUUGACUUUCGGGUAACUUUAGGGAACUGGGGCUAUUACCGGAUAGGAGCUCCUGCUGCAUGGUGGGGGUUGGAAAGUUUCGGCGGUUGGGGAUGGACUGGAGGCUUAUCAGCUUGUUGGUCAGGUAGUUGCUGACCAAGGCUUUGACGGGUAGCCGGCCUGAGAGCCUGACCGGCCACAUUGGGCCUGAGGUACGGCGCAGAAGGCAACGGGAGGCAGCAGGGGGAAGUAUUGCGGAGUGAGCCGAAGCGUGAGACAGCAACGUCGCGUGCGUGAUGACGGCCUUCGGGGUAAAAACCGAUUUCGCCGGUAACGAAGCGUGAGUGACGGUAAUGGGUAAAGAAGCACCGGCUAACUACGUG
RNAcentral lists this ribosomal RNA (468 nucleotides) under uncultured bacterium. RNAcentral describes it as "partial 16S ribosomal RNA". It matches the Rfam family "Bacterial small subunit ribosomal RNA", at positions 28 to 507 of the family's 1533-position model. The record is from RNAcentral.